This 429-nucleotide ribosomal RNA is filed under the name Bacillota bacterium. RNAcentral describes it as "Firmicutes bacterium partial 16S ribosomal RNA". It matches the Rfam family "Bacterial small subunit ribosomal RNA", at positions 355 to 776 of the family's 1533-position model. The record is from RNAcentral. Lineage: Bacteria; Bacillati; Bacillota.
UAGGGAAUCUUCGGCAAUGGACGGAAGUCUGACCGAGCAACGCCGCGUGAGUGAAGAAGGUUUUCGGAUCGUAAAGCUCUGUUGUUAGAGAAGAACGUUGGUAGGAGUGGAAAAUCUACCAAGUGACGGUAACUAACCAGAAAGGGACGGCUAACUACGUGCCAGCAGCCGCGGUAAUACGUAGGUCCCGAGCGUUGUCCGGAUUUAUUGGGCGUAAAGCGAGCGCAGGCGGUUCUUUAAGUCUGAAGUUAAAGGCAGUGGCUUAACCAUUGUACGCUUUGGAAACUGGAGGACUUGCGUGCAGGAGGGGAGAGUGGAAUUCCAUGUGUAGCAGUGAAAUGCGUAGAUAUAUGGAGGAACACCGGUGGCGAAAGCGGCUCUCUGGUCUGUAACUGACGCUGAGGCUCGAAAGCGUGGGGAGCAAACAGG